GGUUGACCUCGGAUCAGGUAGGAAUACCCGCUGAACUUAAGCAUAUCAAUAAGCCGG
This 57-nucleotide ribosomal RNA is filed under the name Ceratocystis platani. RNAcentral's name for it is "partial 28S ribosomal RNA". Lineage: Eukaryota; Fungi; Ascomycota; Sordariomycetes; Microascales; Ceratocystidaceae. The record is from RNAcentral.